UGGGGAAUAUUGCACAAUGGGCGAAAGCCUGAUGCAGCGACGCCGCGUGAGGGAUGACGGCCUUCGGGUUGUAAACCUCUUUCAGCAGGGAAGAAGCGAAAGUGACGGUACCUGCAGAAGAAGCGCCGGCUAACUACGUGCCAGCAGCCGCGGUAAUACGUAGGGCGCAAGCGUUGUCCGGAAUUAUUGGGCGUAAAGAGCUCGUAGGCGGUUAGUCGCGUCUGCUGUGAAAACUCGAGGCUCAACCUCGGGCUUGCAGUGGGUACGGGCUGACUAGAGUGCGGUAGGGGUGACUGGAAUUCCUGGUGUAGCGGUGGAAUGCGCAGAUAUCAGGAGGAACACCGAUGGCGAAGGCAGGUCACUGGGCCGCAACUGACGCUGAGGAGCGAAAGCAUGGGGAGCGAACAGGAUUAGAUACCCUGGUAGUCCAUGCCGUAAACGUUGGGCGCUAGGUGUGGGGUCCAUUCCACGGAUUCCGUGCCGCAGCAAACGCAUUAAGUGCCCCGCCUGGGGAGUACGGCCGCAAGGCU
Molecule: ribosomal RNA, 530 nt
Filed under: uncultured bacterium
Lineage: Bacteria
Description: partial 16S ribosomal RNA
Rfam family: Bacterial small subunit ribosomal RNA
Source: RNAcentral